RNAcentral lists this ribosomal RNA (476 nucleotides) under fungal sp. 23A TTMM-2011. Its description in RNAcentral is "eukaryotic LSU rRNA". The stretch from base 35 to 188 matches the Rfam family "5.8S ribosomal RNA". The record is from RNAcentral. Lineage: Eukaryota; Fungi.
AAACUCUGAGGAAAAAAAAAACAAAAUGAAUCAAAACUUUCAACAACGGAUCUCUUGGUUCUGGCAUCGAUGAAAAACGCAGCGAAAUGCGAUAAGUAAUGUGAAUUGCAAAAUUCAGUGAAUCAUCGAAUCUUUGAACGCACAUUGCGCCCUCCGGUAUUCCGGAGGGCAUGCCUGUUCGAGCGUCAUUUCAACCCUCAAGCACUGCUUGGUGUUGGGGCACUGCUCCUCUCGCGGGGAGCAGGCCCUGAAAUUCAGUGGCGAGCUCGCCAGGACCCCGAGCGCAGUAGUUAAACCCUCGCUCUGGAAGGCCCUGGCGGUGCCCUGCCGUUAAACCCCCAACUCUUGAAAAUUUGACCUCGGAUCAGGUAGGAAUACCCGCUGAACUUAAGCAUAUCAAAAGGCGAGGAAGGGUUGUUGGAACACAUCAAUGCCCUCGAACCAUUAGGAAAUUAUCUUUAUUGUUGCUCGGGCAA